Molecule: long non-coding RNA, 604 nt
Organism: Bradysia coprophila
Lineage: Eukaryota; Metazoa; Arthropoda; Insecta; Diptera; Sciaridae
Source: RefSeq, a predicted model, not a curated record
UCUGUGAAGAUUCGUUCAUAUUUCCGGAAUUAGUUAGAAAGGUCAGUUUGUUGCUGGUGUCACUGUGCACGAUUUGCUUAAUCUUACAUUUAUUGGCGAACGCAAACGAUAUGACUAUCACGGAAGCCACAGACUUGGACCUCCCACAACUCCAUGUUUUAAUAGAAACAUGCUACAGGGGCGAAUCGUCAAAACAAGGAUGGACGUCAGAAGCUGAUAUUCUCGGUGGUAUAAGAACAAAUGAGGAGCUUUUAAGAGCUGAAAUGACUGCAUCUGGCGCCAGAUUCCUUAAAUAUACAGAUGAAGAAGGUUGCAUUAGCGGUUGCGUUUAUACGCGAUUGAUUCCAGCAGAAAAAAAAGUCUACAUAGGGAUGCUGUGCGUAAAUCCUCAAAUACAAGCCAAAGGGCUCGGAAAACAAUUGAUAGCAGCUGCUGAAAACCUUGGUCUUGAAAACGGAUGUACAACAGCAAUUAUAGUGGUAAUUUCCAGGCGUACGGAGCUUGUGGCAUGGUAUGAAAGGCGAGGAUAUGCACCGACUGGAGAAAUAAACCCAUUUGCAACUGCUGGAGGUAUCGGAGACGCGAAAGUCGAAAACUUACAGUU